ACUCCUUCGGGAGGCAGCAGUGAGGAAUAUUGGACAAUGGGUGGAAGCCUGAUCCAGCCAUCCCGCGUGCAGGAAGACGGCCCUAUGGGUUGUAAACUGCUUUUAUCUGGGGAUAAACCUACUUACGUGUAAGUAGCUGAAGGUACCAGAAGAAUAAGCACCGGCUAACUCCGUGCCAGCAGCCGCGGUAAUACGGAGGGUGCAAGCGUUAUCCGGAUUUAUUGGGUUUAAAGGGUCCGUAGGCGGACUGAUAAGUCAGUGGUGAAAUCCGACAGCUUAACUGUCGAACUGCCAUUGAUACUGUUAGUCUUGAGUAAGGUUGAAGUGGCUGGAAUAAGUAGUGUAGCGGUGAAAUGCAUAGAUAUUACUUAGAACACCAAUUGCGAAGGCAGGUCACUAAGUCUUAACUGACGCUGAUGGACGAAAGCGUGGGGAGCGAACAGGAUUAGAAACCCCUGUAGUCCCAUG
This 468-nucleotide ribosomal RNA is filed under the name uncultured organism. RNAcentral's name for it is "partial 16S ribosomal RNA". It matches the Rfam family "Bacterial small subunit ribosomal RNA", at positions 335 to 799 of the family's 1533-position model. The record is from RNAcentral.